GGGGCUAUAGCUCAGAUGGUAGAGCAUCUGCUUUGCACGCAGAGGGUCAGCGGUUCAAUCCCGCUUAGCUCCA
This 73-nucleotide transfer RNA is filed under the name Enterobacteriaceae endosymbiont of Donacia sparganii. RNAcentral describes it as "tRNA-Ala". It matches the Rfam family "tRNA". From Rfam's summary of the family: Transfer RNA (tRNA) molecules are approximately 80 nucleotides in length. Their secondary structure includes four short double-helical elements and three loops (D, anti-codon, and T loops). Further hydrogen bonds mediate the characteristic L-shaped molecular structure. tRNAs have two regions of fundamental functional importance: the anti-codon, which is responsible for specific mRNA codon recognition, and the 3' end, to which the tRNAs corresponding amino acid is attached (by aminoacyl-tRNA synthetases). tRNAs cope with the degeneracy of the genetic code in two manners: having more than one tRNA (with a specific anti-codon) for a particular amino acid; and 'wobble' base-pairing, i.e. permitting non-standard base-pairing at the 3rd anti-codon position. The record is from RNAcentral. Lineage: Bacteria; Pseudomonadati; Pseudomonadota; Gammaproteobacteria; Enterobacterales; Enterobacteriaceae.